RNAcentral lists this long non-coding RNA (934 nucleotides) under Marmota monax (woodchuck). The record is from RNAcentral. Lineage: Eukaryota; Metazoa; Chordata; Mammalia; Rodentia; Sciuridae.
UUUUUUUUUUUUUUUUCUAAUCCCAAUUGCUUGUUUUAGAUUAGAUACUAUUCUAGAAAUAUGCGAAGUAUUUGGGGGGAGGGGAGUACCAGGGAUUGAACUCAGAGGCACUCAACCACUGAGCCACAUCCUCAGCCCUAUUUUGUAUUUUAUUUAGAGACAGGGUCUCACUGAAUUGCUUAGCGUCUCACUGUUGCUGAGGCUGGCUUUGAACUUGUGAUCCUACUGCCUCAGCCUCCCCAGCUGCUGGGGUUACAGAUGUGCGCCACCAUGCCUGGCUGUGUGAAGUAUUUUUAAAAAUGUACUUGACUUCUCUUUGCUAUAAACCAAAUUUUCCUAACUAUCUAGUAUGUACACGUUAGGACGCAAACAUUAAAAAAAAAAGGCCAAUUUAUAGAGGAAAAUUACUAGACAGAUAUCUCUGGGAUAUUGGGAUAUUUACAUUUUAUAUUCUCUGCUAAAGAGACUAGUGUCAAGAAGUAGACUUGAAACUUAGGUACUAGACACAGUAAUAAUGCUGACUUGUAUUUAAAAUCCCAGUGACUUGGGAGGCUGAGGCAGGAAGGUCACGAGUUUGAGGCCAGCCUCUGCAACUUAGCGAGACCCUAUCUCAAAAUAAAAAGGGCUAGGGAUGUGGCUGAAUGCUUAAGUGCCCCUGAGUUCAAUCCCUGGUACCAAAAAAUAAAACAUUAGCUUUGGUCUGGGGAUAUGGCUCCAUAUUAGAGUACUUACCUAGCAUGCAUGAAACCCUGGGUUUGAUCCCUAACAUCACAAAAAUAAAUAAAUGAAUCCUUAGCUUUUUUUUCUUUUAGUACCUUUCUUUAACACUUUGCUUCAAAUCAUCUUUUUUGGGAGGGCAGGGUACCAGUGAUUGAACUCAGGCAUUCAACCACUGAGCCACAUUCCCAGCCCAGCCCUAUUUUGUAUUUUUUAU